This 226-nucleotide ribosomal RNA is filed under the name uncultured Macrococcus sp. RNAcentral describes it as "partial 16S ribosomal RNA". It matches the Rfam family "Bacterial small subunit ribosomal RNA", at positions 211 to 436 of the family's 1533-position model. The record is from RNAcentral. Lineage: Bacteria; Bacillati; Bacillota; Bacilli; Caryophanales; Staphylococcaceae.
UCUGUCACUUAUAGAUGGACCCGCGGCGUAUUAGCUAGUUGGUGAGGUAACGGCUCACCAAGGCAACGAUACAUAGCCGACCUGAGAGGGUGAUCGGCCACACUGGGACUGAGACACGGCCCAGACUCCUACGGGAGGCAGCAGUAGGGAAUCUUCCGCAAUGGGCGAAAGUCUGACGGAGCAACGCCGCGUGAGUGAAGAAGGUUUUCGGAUCGUAAAGCUCUGU